Molecule: ribosomal RNA, 253 nt
Filed under: uncultured bacterium
Lineage: Bacteria
Description: partial 16S ribosomal RNA
Rfam family: Bacterial small subunit ribosomal RNA
Source: RNAcentral
UACGUAGGGUGCGAGCGUUAAUCGGAAUUACUGGGCGUAAAGCGUGCGCAGGCGGCUUUGCAAGACAGAUGUGAAAUCCCCGGGCUCAACCUGGGAACUGCAUGUGUGACUGCAAGGCUAGAGUACGGCAGAGGGGGAUGGAAUUCCGCGUGUAGCAGUGAAAUGCGUAGAUAUGCGGAGGAACACCAAUGGCGAAGGCAAUCCCCUGGGCCUGUACUGACGCUCAUGCACGAAAGCGUGGGGAGCAAACAGG